This 266-nucleotide long non-coding RNA is filed under the name Hordeum vulgare. RNAcentral's name for it is "long non-coding RNA (HVUL_LNC018857)". Lineage: Eukaryota; Viridiplantae; Streptophyta; Magnoliopsida; Poales; Poaceae. The record is from RNAcentral.
AGAACUCGGAAUUUUCUGUUUUCUUCUUCUUCUUUGUCUUCUUCUUCUUCUUCUUCUUCUUCGUCUUCUUCUUUAUUUCUCUUUUCUUCUUCUUCUUCUUCUUCUUCUUCUUCUUAUUCCUUCUUUUCCUUUUUCAUGUUCUUUGUUCUCCUCCUCCUCCUCUUCUUCUCCUCCUCCUCCUCUCCUCUUCUCCUCUUAUUCUACUCUUUUCUUUUCUUCUUCUUCUUCUUCUUCUUCUUCUUCUUCUUCUUCUUCUUGCUUUUCUU